UACGUAGGGUGCAAGCGUUGUCCGGAAUUAUUGGGCGUAAAGAGCUCGUAGGCGGUCUGUCGCGUCUGCUGUGAAACCUGGGGCUUAACUCUGGGCGUGCAGUGGGUACGGGCAGACUAGAGGUGUGGUAGGGGAGACUGGAAUUCCGUGGUGAUAGCGGUGAAAUGCGCAGAUAUCGAGGAGGAACACCGAUGGCGAAGGCAGGUCUCUGGGCCAC
This 217-nucleotide ribosomal RNA is filed under the name uncultured bacterium. RNAcentral's name for it is "partial 16S ribosomal RNA". It matches the Rfam family "Bacterial small subunit ribosomal RNA", at positions 524 to 737 of the family's 1533-position model. The record is from RNAcentral.